Molecule: ribosomal RNA, 474 nt
Filed under: Fusarium merismoides
Lineage: Eukaryota; Fungi; Ascomycota; Sordariomycetes; Hypocreales; Nectriaceae
Description: eukaryotic LSU rRNA
Rfam family: 5.8S ribosomal RNA (bases 140-293)
Source: RNAcentral
CCAAACCCCUGUGAACAUACCUAUCGUUGCUUCGGCGGAUCCGCCCCGGUGCCUUCGGGCCCGGACUCAGGCGCCCGCCGGGGGACCCAAACUCUUGUAUUUCUUUAGUAUCUUCUGAGUAAACAAGCAAAUAAAUUAAAACUUUCAACAACGGAUCUCUUGGUUCUGGCAUCGAUGAAGAACGCAGCGAAAUGCGAUAAGUAAUGUGAAUUGCAGAAUUCCGUGAAUCAUCGAAUCUUUGAACGCACAUUGCGCCCGCCAGUAUUCUGGCGGGCAUGCCUGUUCGAGCGUCAUUUCAACCCUCAAGCCCCCGGGCUUGGUGUUGGGGCUCGGCCCGUCCCUAGCGGCGCGCCGUCCCCGAAAUCUAGUGGCGGUCACGCUGUACUCCUCUGCGUAGUAAUCUAACCUCGCAACGGGACAAAGCGCGGCCACGCCGUUAAACCCCCAACUUCUGAAGGUUGACCUCGGAUCAGG